Molecule: ribosomal RNA, 84 nt
Filed under: Cistella acuum
Lineage: Eukaryota; Fungi; Ascomycota; Leotiomycetes; Helotiales
Description: partial 28S ribosomal RNA
Rfam family: Eukaryotic large subunit ribosomal RNA
Source: RNAcentral
UUUGACCUCGGAUCAGGUAGGGAUACCCGCUGAACUUAAGCAUAUCAAUAAGCGGAGGAAAAGAAACCAACAGGGAUUACCUCA